UUGUGACAAAAGCAAAGAAUGAAUGUGUUCCUCAGUGGUUAGAGUUUGUUCACUUAGGCUUCGUUGAGAUUUAUCAAGGGAUUGUUACAUGAGUCAGCCUUUCCUGUGUAAUCAACCAACAAAAUCUGAGUGGCAUGAUGGACAUCUUUGAGGCCAUGCCUUAUCUGGUAUCCAGCCGGAGGGAAAGCGCAGGCUCAGGAUUUCUCUCUGACAGAUCAGAGCUGGUGGCCCGAUUUGCAUAACUGAUGUAAAUAAUCUGUGAUUCUGCAGCUGCCAGAAAAACACAGCGUACAAAGACAAAAUAAACAAGAAUGGAGACAACAGCAACAGAAACUUGGAAGCUGGGAGGAGAUCUGAGAAAGCUGGAUUCUCAGCCAACUUCAGAGAGAGCUGAGAAGCAGACUGAUUUUUUGUUUUGUUUUGUUUUUAAUUUCAAGUACAAAUCCAAGAAUGAGCAUCAUCAGAUAUCUCUGGAAGUUCUGUUGCAAGUAAGGUUGCUGAAGAAGCAGCUGGCCCUUCUCAUCUCCUCCCCACUUCAUGAAACAGGAAUACAUUUUGAGAAAUGUGUCAUUAGGCCAUUUUGUUCUGCUAACAUCAUGGAGUGUCCUUGGUAGAGCCUACUACACACCUAGGCUGUAUGUGACAGCCUAUGGCUCCUAGACUACAAAUCUGGACAGCAUGUCACUGUACUGAACACCCUAGGCAACUGGAACGCAAGGGACCUCCAGUGUAACUUAGAAGAAUCGUUCCUUUGACGUAUCUGCUAUGCAACUGGUCAAUAUUGCAUGAUGACUUCUCAAUAUUACUAUUGAUUUAGGCUACCAGGAAAAAUCAAGCUUGCUUCAAGGAGAUUUUAGUGCAAGAAAUCCAUAUUAUUUGACACUUGCUAUUAUUUCUGCAGCAUCCCAGAAUUUCUCAUUUAAGUACUGCCCAAUAGUAUUCUGGCUUUCUUUGCAUUUGUGAACACAGACACAAAAUGUUUUGUUGUAAUUUAUUGCAGAAUGGCAGUUUGGCCUUUGGGGAAUAUGAAUCAUGGGUCACUGUCAUAAAACAACUUAUGUUUGGAAACUUUUUUGAAUAAUAAUUGAUUUGGGACAAGACUUUUUUUCCCUUAAUAAGAAAUUAGGAGCUUUCUUAAUAAGAAAUAUCAUUAGAGUUUUCCAUUUUAAAUUGUGUGAAUUUGUUUUCAUUGUAUGAAACUGGAUACAAGAUAAUCAGUUGCUCAGACUAGAUACCAAAAGGAAUGGUUAUUAAGACAGUAGAAAAAUCUUUUUGAAGAACAUUCAUAGGGUAGCCAUCCUACUGCCCCAAAUCAAACCUGAGGCAAUAGAAAACUACGCUUUUAGAAUAAUAAAAAUAGCAGAAAACUCC
This is a non-coding RNA of Macaca mulatta (Rhesus monkey), 1371 nucleotides long. NCBI's taxonomy places the organism in Eukaryota, Metazoa, Chordata, Mammalia, Primates, Cercopithecidae. The record is from RefSeq and is a predicted model, not a curated record.